RNAcentral lists this ribosomal RNA (253 nucleotides) under uncultured bacterium. RNAcentral's name for it is "partial 16S ribosomal RNA". It matches the Rfam family "Bacterial small subunit ribosomal RNA", at positions 524 to 776 of the family's 1533-position model. The record is from RNAcentral.
UACGGGGGGGGCAAGCGUUGUUCGGAAUUACUGGGCGUAAAGCGUGCGCAGGCGGUUUUGUAAGUCAGAUGUGAAAUCCCUCGGCUUAACCAAGGAAGUGCAUCCGAAACUGCAGUGCUUGAGUACUUAAGAGGAUCGCGGAAUUCCCGGUGUAGAGGUGAAAUUCGUAGAUAUCGGGAGGAACACCAGUGGCGAAGGCGGCGAUCUGGGAAGAUACUGACGCUGAGGUGCGAAAGCGUGGGGAGCAAACAGG